CAGUAGCCACGGAAUACGGAGGGUGCAAGCGUUAAUCGGAAUUACUGGGCGUAAAGCGCACGCAGGCGGUCUGUCAAGUCGGAUGUGAAAUCCCCGGGCUCAACCUGGGAACUGCAUUCGAAACUGGCAGGCUAGAGUCUUGUAGAGGGGGGUAGAAUUCCAGGUGUAGCGGUGAAAUGCGUAGAGAUCUGGAGGAAUACCGGUGGCGAAGGCGGCCCCCUGGACAAAGACUGACGCUCAGGUGCGAAAGCGUGGGGAGCAAACAGGAUUAGAUACCCCGGUAGUCCCUGUCUCUUAUACA
This 301-nucleotide ribosomal RNA is filed under the name uncultured bacterium. Its description in RNAcentral is "partial 16S ribosomal RNA". It matches the Rfam family "Bacterial small subunit ribosomal RNA", at positions 509 to 808 of the family's 1533-position model. The record is from RNAcentral.